GGGCAUAUGGUGUAGGGGUUAUCACGUUCGCUUUGCAUAACUCGAGAAUCAGUUUCCUGCUUUGCGAAAGGUCUCCGGUUCAAAUCCGGAUUUGUCCA
Non-coding RNA from Rhodocollybia butyracea, 98 nucleotides. The record is from the annotation of a GenBank genome assembly. NCBI's taxonomy places the organism in Eukaryota, Fungi, Basidiomycota, Agaricomycetes, Agaricales, Omphalotaceae.